GCACAGAGUUAGCCGGUGCUUCUUCUGCGAGUAACGUCACAGUUGACACGUAUUAGGCGCCAACCUUUCCUCCUCGCUGAAAGUGCUUUACAACCCGAAGGCCUUCUUCACACACGCGGCAUGGCUGCAUCAGGGUUUCCCCCAUUGUGCAAUAUUCCCCA
This 161-nucleotide ribosomal RNA is filed under the name uncultured bacterium. RNAcentral describes it as "partial 16S ribosomal RNA". The record is from RNAcentral.